This 71-nucleotide transfer RNA is filed under the name Albula goreensis. It matches the Rfam family "tRNA". From Rfam's summary of the family: Transfer RNA (tRNA) molecules are approximately 80 nucleotides in length. Their secondary structure includes four short double-helical elements and three loops (D, anti-codon, and T loops). Further hydrogen bonds mediate the characteristic L-shaped molecular structure. tRNAs have two regions of fundamental functional importance: the anti-codon, which is responsible for specific mRNA codon recognition, and the 3' end, to which the tRNAs corresponding amino acid is attached (by aminoacyl-tRNA synthetases). tRNAs cope with the degeneracy of the genetic code in two manners: having more than one tRNA (with a specific anti-codon) for a particular amino acid; and 'wobble' base-pairing, i.e. permitting non-standard base-pairing at the 3rd anti-codon position. The record is from Rfam by way of RNAcentral. Lineage: Eukaryota; Metazoa; Chordata; Actinopteri; Albuliformes; Albulidae.
GCGCCAGUGGUGUAGGGGCGUCAUGCAAGAUUCCCAUUCUUUCGAGCCGGGUUCGAUUCCCGGCUUGCGCA